UGCGGGAGCUGGCUCGGCGGUAUGCCGGGUUGCCCGCGCUCCUGGCGCUGGGAGCCGGCGCGCCGUCUCUCGGCGGGCUCCAUGCCUGCUUCCGCAGC
RNAcentral lists this transfer RNA (98 nucleotides) under Paenibacillus macerans. Its description in RNAcentral is "tRNA-Arg(cct)". The record is from RNAcentral. Lineage: Bacteria; Bacillati; Bacillota; Bacilli; Caryophanales; Paenibacillaceae.